GGAACUUCCUGGACUGUCUCCUCUCUGCUGCAUUGUUGUACCAGUGGACAUCUGCUCUCCUGUGGGCUUGGAUUAUCCCUACUCCUGUAAUUGCUCCAGUGUUGAAGCUGCGACAGUAUAGGAGGAUGGACAUGGAACUCUUACCUGUUUUCCACCACUUCAGCACAAACCCAAUACCUGUGCUCAAGGGAAGAAGAAAAAUAAAGACAUAAUGGUUGCUGGUA
Molecule: long non-coding RNA, 224 nt
Organism: Corapipo altera (White-ruffed manakin)
Lineage: Eukaryota; Metazoa; Chordata; Aves; Passeriformes; Pipridae
Exons: 2
Source: RefSeq, a predicted model, not a curated record